UAAAUAUAUCACCAACAUGUAUGUCAUAGGUACAGAGGUAAUAAACAGACUAGUUAUCUAAAAUGAACAUUCAACCAUCGCAGUACACAUGUGAAAUGAAACAAAGCUAGUUCUCACAGAACAACAAUUAAGUAAGAACAAUCAUGUUUCUUGACUGAACAAAUCUAAUAAUCUCACAACUAAAAUUCUUAUAGAAUGGAACAAGUAGGUGAACACACACACACAACUACGAAUAUGGUGUUACAGGGCACAGUUCUAAUACUCUCACAUAAACAAAAUAAGUACUACUAAUCAAGCACAAGUCUGAAACUAAACAAGCUUCAAGCACUACUCAAAUCUGAACAUUACAAAGCAUUUGCCAUACACAUCUCAAUUCUGAAUAUUACAAAGUCUAAACAUUACACUACCCUAAACAUUACACUACUCAAGGUUACAGAAAUUUGAGAGAGAGGGAGAGAGAGAGAGAACAACAGCUGGAUUAUGGUUCAGAAAAGAAGCAAAGAAGCAGAGGAAGAGGAGGAGGCGUUGAGGAGGGACGGCAGCAAGGAACAGAGGAGCAGCGAAGGGGGUUCAGAGAGAAGGGAUAAGCAGCAGGGGCGUUGGAGAGAGAGCAACAGCAAGUUGGGGCAAGGGAAGGUGAAGAGCAGCAGCAGGUAUAGGAGAAGAAGAAGGAGCAGCGGCGGCUCGGCGCAAGAAGAAGAAGCAGAAAGCAGCGGAAGGAGGGAGAAGGAGCAGCGAGGGAGAUUGUAGACGAGCAGCAGCAGGGGCGCGGAGAAGAAGGAGCAGCAGACAGGGAUUCAGCGAAGCGGGGAAGAAGGGAAGAAGAAGCAGCGGCGGUGUGUCUGGCCGGGCGCGCCGGCUGGAGGGAGAGGUCGUGCGAGGUGGGCACUGGUAGCUGGUUGGCGCGCCGCCACGCUGGCCUGGCCGCAGCGGCGGCCGUAGGUGGAGAAGGAAGCGGGGGAGAGAGGAGAUGGAGAUAUACCAGGCCCAAUUUGGGAAUGGAUGCAUCUAGGGAUUUUGAUCCCCAUCUGAUCUGCCACUUUUAUGAUUUGGCCCUCCUCUUCUAUUCAUUUCUUCCCAAGAAGAUCCCCUUCUUCUUUUAGUUUGCUCCCCUGGAUACUUCUUUUCUUCUCACUGAAGUCCUUGACGUAUUUCUUUCAUGCCCUUCUCUCUUCUGGUUAGCCAUAUGUUCGGAAUCUUGACGAUUAUAGUGCCUUUGCGCACUUUUCUGCAAAAGAAACAAGUGACAAGUAAAUGAACCCUUUAUAUGAUUCUCAUUAAAAUAUGCGGUAAUUCAUAGCAAGAAUUGAUUGUCAGAUCACAACAGAUGCUAUAUUUGGGUGUCAAAUUAUAUAUAUGAAAUGUGCUUAUCAAGUUCCCCCACACUUAAAUCUUUGCUUGUCCUCAAGCAAAGGCAAAUGACAAUAGCAAGAAUGUGAACAGUGAGCUGACUAGAGAAUGCCAAGUGAAGUAGAUCUCCAAACAAUGCAUGCUUUGGACUUAGCUAGUGAAAAUCAAUGGUUAGGAGUGCUUCAAAGCGGUAGAAUACUAGUAGACUUGACCAUUUUAAACUUUUACAAUGAUAAAAGAGGAUCAACAAGUUUAAGUGAUGACUGUGCCAAAUGGUUCCUAAAGAGAGCAUGAUCCCGAGAACAAAAAGAACUGGAAUUAAAUCUUGUGAUCAAAUCACUUAUUUACAGAGAUAAAGCAAUGAUUAUAUUAUUAUUAGUCUCACCAUAGGAACAUACCAGCGAUCCCGAGAACAUGGUAUACACCCAGCUCAACCAAUUAUUAGUUUUUUUUGUUUGCCUCCCCAAAGGAACAUACCACCGAUCCCGAGAACAUGGUAUACACCUGGUUCGACAAUUACAUUUUUUAACAUAAUUAACUCCUAUCCGAUCCAACCAGAUUUCACAAGCCACCGAUCCAGGGAACAUGGCAUGCUACUGUUAGGUAAGAUCAAAUAAUUAUUCAUUAUAAUAUAUACUUUUUUUUGAACAAAAACAAGAAUCAUCACUCAACCAUGUUUGGUUCACAUACUACCGAUCCAGGGAACAUAGCAUGCUAAUCCAUAGUGGUUAGGUGAUUGCUCUCAAUGGGAACACACUUAGCACAAAUUCAGCAUCUAAACAUGGUGAUCUAGGUGUAUCAUAGUAAAUUCAGAAAAUGAUGAAGUUUUCUAGUGUACUAGGGAUUUGAGCACUCAAAACUACUAGUUCUCACUAAUUUCAGCAAAGCAAUCAUUGUAUAGAUCACUAGUUUACAAGGCAUUCAAUAAUCAGUUCUCAUGUUCACAUCAAGCACAAUAUGUCAAAUAAAAUUCAGUGGGAAAUCAUUUAAGAAAUGGCUUAAGAAACUCAAAUAUCAAAUGAUUUCAGCAUGAUCAAUGGAUGAUAUAUUCAGAUUGGGGUCAUGAAACAGCUCACCGGGCUUUGAUCAUGUAGCACUCGCUUGAUCACUCUCUAAGUUGCGGCUCUUCUCCAUUGCUCGUGCAUGCUCCAGCUUCACUCUUCUUCGCGUGUACCCAUUGCUUCUCCUCAUCACCAUGCCGUGAAUCCACCAGGAUCCCAGGGAAUGUCAUCUUGAACUCGGUCAACUCGCAGUAAGUGGUGCACAAGCAUCAACCUGAAAGAACACUCAACAACCAAGCCAAUACAAGUGACAGAGAGAAUGCCCUCUAAGUCAUCGAUAGAGUACCCUAGCAUAUAAGUAUAUCUAUUGAGAAAAUCAGGAACAUGUAUCAACAACAAGUCACAUGGUGCAUAGGCAAUAUCAGCGAUAUGACAUAACUUAUCCAGAAAGCUGACAUAAUACCUGAAAUGGCCUUGGAAAAGUUUUAUGACUACCUCAACUGAAGAUACCAUGGAAGGCAUGGUAGUAGAAACUUCCACCGGGCUCGUAUCGACAGGUGAAAUAGUAGGACUUUGCUCCUUGACAUCUGAAGUGACCUCAUCAUAAUCAACAAUGAAGAUUUCCAUCUCAGGCUCAAGCGUUGAAGAAUCGAUGUGGCUAACAUCAUCAAAGGUGAACUUUUCCAUAUCUGGCUCUAGCAGCACAUGAUCAAUAUCAACUAAAGGUAUCUCCUCAAUAUCAAAAGUAACUAACAGUAGCUCUGGUUCAUCCACACAAGAAUCAUCACAAUGCAAAACUGAAUCUAGAAUGCUAGUAUCCAUAUGAUCUGAAGUGUGUGUGUCAACUAGGAUGGUGUCAUCAUCAUCAAAGAUAAUCCAUGAAAGCUCAAUCUUGUCACAUGAAGAAACUGGUUCCGGAUUUUGUGUAAGAGAUUCUUGCUGAGAUGAAGUGAUUUGUUGCAAGCAAGCAACUGGGCCAGAGGUGGGCUUCUCAUUGUACCACUGAAGUUGGUGGAAGGCUAUGUUCUCAAUCAGCAGAAAAGCAUCAUCAAGUGUCUUGUUUGUAAUAGCUCCACCCGCUGCCAUAUCGACGUAAGCUCGAGUGUCCGAAGUCAAUCCUCUAUAGAAUAUCUGCAGCUCUAACCAUCUCUCAAGCCCAUGAUUAGGACAUCUCCUGAGUAUCUCUCCCAAGCAUCAUACAAGCUCUCGCCUUCACGCUGAACGAAAUUGAAGAUCUCAUCUCGAAUUGCGGACUACUUGUGUAAUGGGAAAUAUUUAUCCAAGAAAGCUCGUGAUAUCUCAUUCCAACCAAAUGAUCUUGAUGGCAAGGAUCGAUACCAAGCACGAGCAUCAUCUCGGAGAGAGAAUGUGAACAGCAUGCACUUGAUAACAUCUUGAGGAACUCCUUGAUACUUUACUGUAUCUGAAUACUCCAUGACACGGAGCAAGUGCACAUAAGGGUCUUUAGUAGGCAGUACUCCAAACUGUUGUUGUUGAACCAAAGCAAUAAGACUAGGUUUCAGCUCGAAGUUCUCUGCCUCAAUAGUUGGCCAAGCCGGUCCUAUGAUAUAGCACCGACUUUUGGGCAUCCAUAGAUCACGAAGCAAUGCCAUCUUAACCGAGUGUAACUAUAGAACAACCUACAAUUAGUUCAGAUUUCCUAGCACACUCAUAAACAGUAAACACUAGUCAGAAAGUUAGUAUCCUAAUAAGCAGAAGCAACAAAAAGUAAGAAGGUAAAAGAAGCACCGAAAUAAAUUUGACUGGAAAUUUAAACAAAAACUGUACUAAGCCUUGUCUAUAGCUUCACACAAUCGUUCAACGCUAGUCCCCAGCAACGGCGCCAAAAUGAUCGGUGGUAAGUACAGUGGGUUUUUCUCGCCCGAACUGCGAGUGUCAUGUUCCCCACAGGGACUAGGAGACGACGACUAUGCUCAGCUAAAUCUAGGUAACACACAUUUAAGAGACGAAUGCAGAAAAUAAAACCUAAACUAACAAGGUCGUUCUCAAAUAUCGUCAACAAAGAAAAUGCAAAGAGCACAGGGAGAUUCAGAUUUUACUCAUUGUCUUUUUGGUAUUUUCGUAAUGCUUGAGAAGUUCAAAUACUAAUACGAGUAUACAUCAAUGACAAGAGAAGUGAAAGGACAUGAACAUAACAUGACAAGGACACAUAUUAAUCUAUCAAACAUGAACAGAGGAAAGAAACAAGCUUGUAGGACAGAAAUAUAUCACAACACAAACCGAUCUAGGACAGAAAUACACCUGGUUCGACAAUUACAUUUUUUAACAUAAUUAACUCCUAUCCGAUCCAACCAGAUUUCACAAGCCACCGAUCCAGGGAACAUGGCAUGCUACUGUUAGGUAAGAUCAAAUAAUUAUUCAUUAUAAUAUAUACUUUUUUUUGAACAAAAACAAGAAUCAUCACUCAACCAUGUUUGGUUCACAUACUACCGAUCCAGGGAACAUAGCAUGCUAAUCCAUAGUGGUUAGGUGAUUGCUCUCAAUGGGAACACACUUAGCACAAAUUCAGCAUCUAAACAUGGUGAUCUAGGUGUAUCAUAGUAAAUUCAGAAAAUGAUGAAGUUUUCUAGUGUACUAGGGAUUUGAGCACUCAAAACUACUAGUUCUCACUAAUUUCAGCAAAGCAAUCAUUGUAUAGAUCACUAGUUUACAAGGCAUUCAAUAAUCAGUUCUCAUGUUCACAUCAAGCACAAUAUGUCAAAUAAAAUUCAGUGGGAAAUCAUUUAAGAAAUGGCUUAAGAAACUCAAAUAUCAAAUGAUUUCAGCAUGAUCAAUGGAUGAUAUAUUCAGAUUGGGGUCAUGAAACAGCUCACCGGGCUUUGAUCAUGUAGCACUCGCUUGAUCACUCUCUAAGUUGCGGCUCUUCUCCAUUGCUCGUGCAUGCUCCAGCUUCACUCUUCUUCGCGUGUACCCAUUGCUUCUCCUCAUCACCAUGCCGUGAAUCCACCAGGAUCCCAGGGAAUGUCAUCUUGAACUCGGUCAACUCGCAGUAAGUGGUGCACAAGCAUCAACCUAAAAGAACACUCAACAACCAAGCCAAUACAAGUGACAGAGAGAAUGCCCUCUAAGUCAUCGAUAGAGUACCCUAGCAUAUAAGUAUAUCUAUUGAGAAAAUCAGGAACAUGUAUCAACAACAAGUCACAUGGUGCAUAGGCAAUAUCAGCGAUAUGACAUAACUUAUCCAGAAAGCUGACAUAAUACCUGAAAUGGCCUUGGAAAAGUUUUAUGACUACCUCAACUGAAGAUACCAUGGAAGGCAUGGUAGUAGAAACUUCCACCGGGCUCGUAUCGACAGGUGAAAUAGUAGGACUUUGCUCCUUGACAUCUGAAGUGACCUCAUCAUAAUCAACAAUGAAGAUUUCCAUCUCAGGCUCAAGCGUUGAAGAAUCGAUGUGGCUAACAUCAUCAAAGGUGAACUUUUCCAUAUCUGGCUCUAGCAGCACAUGAUCAAUAUCAACUAAAGGUAUCUCCUCAAUAUCAAAAGUAACUAACAGUAGCUCUGGUUCAUCCACACAAGAAUCAUCACAAUGCAAAACUGAAUCUAGAAUGCUAGUAUCCAUAUGAUCUGAAGUGUGUGUGUCAACUAGGAUGGUGUCAUCAUCAUCAAAGAUAAUCCAUGAAAGCUCAAUCUUGUCACAUGAAGAAACUGGUUCCGGAUUUUGUGUAAGAGAUUCUUGCUGAGAUGAAGUGAUUUGUUGCAAGCAAGCAACUGGGCCAGAGGUGGGCUUCUCAUUGUACCACUGAAGUUGGUGGAAGGCUAUGUUCUCAAUCAGCAGAAAAGCAUCAUCAAGUGUCUUGUUUGUAAUAGCUCCACCCGCUGCCAUAUCGACGUAAGCUCGAGUGUCCGAAGUCAAUCCUCUAUAGAAUAUCUGCAGCUCUAACCAUCUCUCAAGCCCAUGAUUAGGACAUCUCCUGAGUAUCUCUCCCAAGCAUCAUACAAGCUCUCGCCUUCACGCUGAACGAAAUUGAAGAUCUCAUCUCGAAUUGCGGACUACUUGUGUAAUGGGAAAUAUUUAUCCAAGAAAGCUCGUGAUAUCUCAUUCCAACCAAAUGAUCUUGAUGGCAAGGAUCGAUACCAAGCACGAGCAUCAUCUCGGAGAGAGAAUGUGAACAGCAUGCACUUGAUAACAUCUUGAGGAACUCCUUGAUACUUUACUGUAUCUGAAUACUCCAUGACACGGAGCAAGUGCACAUAAGGGUCUUUAGUAGGCAGUACUCCAAACUGUUGUUGUUGAACCAAAGCAAUAAGACUAGGUUUCAGCUCGAAGUUCUCUGCCUCAAUAGUUGGCCAAGCCGGUCCUAUGAUAUAGCACCGACUUUUGGGCAUCCAUAGAUCACGAAGCAAUGCCAUCUUAACCGAGUGUAACUAUAGAACAACCUACAAUUAGUUCAGAUUUCCUAGCACACUCAUAAACAGUAAACACUAGUCAGAAAGUUAGUAUCCUAAUAAGCAGAAGCAACAAAAAGUAAGAAGGUAAAAGAAGCACCGAAAUAAAUUUGACUGGAAAUUUAAACAAAAACUGUACUAAGCCUUGUCUAUAGCUUCACACAAUCGUUCGACGCUAGUCCCCAGCAACGGCGCCAAAAUGAUCGGUGGUAAGUACAGUGGGUUUUUCUCGCCCGAACUGCGAGUGUCAUGUUCCCCACAGGGACUAGGAGACGACGACUAUGCUCAGCUAAAUCUAGGUAACACAAAUUUAAGAGACGAAUGCAGAAAAUAAAACCUAAACUAACAAGGUCGUUCUCAAAUAUCGUCAACAAAGAAAAUGCAAAGAGCACAGGGAGAUUCAGAUUUUACUCAUUGUCUUUUUGGUAUUUUCGUAAUGCUUGAGAAGUUCAAAUACUAAUACGAGUAUACAUCAAUGACAAGAGAAGUGAAAGGACAUGAACAUAACAUGACAAGGACACAUAUUAAUCUAUCAAACAUGAACAGAGGAAAGAAACAAGCUUGUAGGACAGAAAUAUAUCACAACACAAACAUAUAUAUUUCACAAGCACAUAGUUAACCACGGUUCAGGUUACAUGAGUGAAAACACGUAUACGAACGGGGGUUUACAAGAAGUACUCACAGAUUAACAAAAUGAUACGUACUGGACAAGCACAAGUCAAGGAACAACCACAAAAGAGAUCACACACAUACACUAGCAAAAUAUUAAUUAACAGAAGAUGACAAGUACCAACUAAAUAUAUCACCAACAUGUAUGUCAUAGGUACAGAGAUAAUAAGCAGACUAGUUAUCUAAAAUGAACAUUCAACCAUCGCAGUACACAUGUGAAAUGAAACAAAGCUAGUUCUCACAGAACAACAAUUAAGUAAGAACAAUCAUGUUUCUUGACUGAAGAAAUCUAAUAAUCUCACAACUAAAAUUCUUAUAGAAUGGAACAAGUAGGUGAACACACACACACAACUAUGAAUAUGGUGUUACAGGGCACAGUACUAAUACUCUCACAUAAACAAAAUAAGUACUACUAAUCAAGCACAAGUCUGAAACUAAACAAGCUUCAAGCACUACUCAAAUCUGAACAUUACAAAGCAUUUUCCAUACACAUCUCAAUUCUGAAUAUUAAAAAGUCUGAACAUUACACUACCCUGAACAUUACACUACUCAAGGUUACAGAAAUUUGAGAGAGAGAGAGAACAACAGCAGGAUUAUGGUUCAGAAAAGAAGCAAAGAAGCAGAGGAAGAGGAGGAGGCGUUGAGGAGGGGCGGCAGCAAGGAACAGAGGAGCAGCGAAGGGAGGUUCAGAGAGAAGGGAUAAGCAGCAGGGGCAUUGGAGAGAGAGCAGCAGUAGGUUGGGGCAAGGGAAGGUGAAGAGCAGCAUCAGGUAUAGGAGAAGAAGAAGGAGCAGCGGCAGCUCGGCGCAAGAAGAAGAAGCAGAAAGCAGCGGAAGGAGGGAGAAGGAGCAGCGAGGGAGAUUGUAGACGAGCAGCAGCAGGGGCGCAGAGAAGAAGGAGCAGCAGACAGGGAUUCAGCGAAGCGGGGAAGAAGGGAAGAAGAAGCAGCGGCGGUGUGUCUGGCCGGGCGCGCCGGCUGG
This 8407-nucleotide long non-coding RNA is filed under the name Triticum aestivum (bread wheat). RNAcentral describes it as "long non-coding RNA (TAES_LNC025746)". The record is from RNAcentral. Lineage: Eukaryota; Viridiplantae; Streptophyta; Magnoliopsida; Poales; Poaceae.